This 340-nucleotide ribosomal RNA is filed under the name Penicillium swiecickii. RNAcentral describes it as "eukaryotic LSU rRNA". The stretch from base 7 to 124 matches the Rfam family "5.8S ribosomal RNA", at positions 37 to 154 of the family's 154-position model. Lineage: Eukaryota; Fungi; Ascomycota; Eurotiomycetes; Eurotiales; Aspergillaceae. The record is from RNAcentral.
AUCGAUUGAAGAACGCAGCGAAAUGCGAUACGUAAUGUGAAUUGCAGAAUUCAGUGAAUCAUCGAGUCUUUGAACGCACAUUGCGCCCUCUGGUAUUCCGGAGGGCAUGCCUGUCCGAGCGUCAUUGCUGCCCUCAAGCACGGCUUGUGUGUUGGGCUCCGUCCCCCGAUCCCGGGGGACGGGCCCGAAAGGCAGCGGCGGCACCGCGUCCGGUCCUCGAGCGUAUGGGGCUUUGUCACCCGCUCUGUAGGCCCGGCCGGCGCCUGCCGAUCAACCAAACUUUUAUCCAGGUUGACCUCGGAUCAGGUAGGGAUACCCGCUGAACUUAAGCAUAUCAAUA